AACGAACGCUGGCGGCAGGCCUAACACAUGCAAGUCGAACGCCCCGCAAGGGGAGUGGCAGGCGGGUGAGUAACACGUGGGAACAUGCCCUUCGGUUCGGAAUAACCCAGGGAAACUUGAGCUAAUACCGGAUACGUCCGAGAGGAGAAAGAUUUAUCGCCGAAGGAUUGGCCCGCGUCUGAUUAGCUUGUUGGUGAGGUAACGGCUCACCAAGGCGACGAUCAGUAGCUGGUCUGAGAGGAUGAUCAGCCACACUGGGACUGAGACACGGCCCAGACUCCUACGGGAGGCAGCAGUGGGGAAUAUUGGACAAUGGGCGCAAGCCUGAUCCAGCCAUGCCGCGUGAGUGAUGACGGCCCUAGGGUUGUAAAGCUCUUUUGCCUGGGAAGAUAAUGACGGUACCAGGAGAAUAAGCCCCGGCUAACUACGUGCCAGCCGCCGCGGUAA
This 447-nucleotide ribosomal RNA is filed under the name uncultured bacterium. RNAcentral's name for it is "partial 16S ribosomal RNA". It matches the Rfam family "Bacterial small subunit ribosomal RNA", at positions 29 to 523 of the family's 1533-position model. The record is from RNAcentral.